This 1000-nucleotide long non-coding RNA is filed under the name Vulpes vulpes (red fox). RNAcentral's name for it is "lncRNA (ENSVVUG00000027617.1)". Lineage: Eukaryota; Metazoa; Chordata; Mammalia; Carnivora; Canidae. The record is from RNAcentral.
CUGUGUGUCUCUCAUGAAUAAAUAAAUAAAAUCUUUAAAAUAAGUAAGUAAGUAAAUAAAUAAAUAAAAUCCAGAAUUCAAUCCAAAUUUACAUCUUGCAUUUGGCUGUUAAUCAUUUACAUAGAGUUCAAAGAGUAAAAACGCAAGCACGGGAGAUUUGAUCCACGAUCCUCGGAAAAGGCUAGUGAUAAAGUGCUCGUAACGUUUUGUACCAAAGUAUUCCUGACUGAUGCCACUGGUUGAGCAUAUCGUCCGCAUUAGUGGUCUUUUCCUAAAAUAUUUCACUCUUUUCCUCAUUUCACUAUAUUUAAAUUGAUGGGCGUUUGUAUUAAUCCGUACGCAUCAUCUUAAAAACUCCAAUUUCAUAGACCUGUGUUUAUUCGAAGGUUUCAAAACAGUUGGAGGAUUCACGCCCCAAAUCUAGAGGAUUCAUUGCAGCUCCACUCCGAAAGGGACAAGAACCAUGACCUUUCCUGCUUCGAGCCCAGUUUUUCAGCGAUAUGUUGUUUCAGGUGGCUAAUCAUUUAGAAAACAUGUCAAGGAGGAAUAUAUGUUAAGAAAGAGAGACGGAUGGAUAAAACCACUAGCGUCAGGAAAGUCAUCAUGAAUAUACAAUCCUUGAUUUGGUUUGCUGCUCAACCGAGGUUUCCUCUGGAAGCUCCGGACCCGUGUUGAAAGCAACCUUCUUCGAGGAGAAGGAACAGCUGUUUACCAUCUUCCUGAGAGUAGAAUUGAACACACCAAACCAAGAGGCACCAAAUCACCGUCAGGCGUCCCUCAUUGAGGCAAAGGGGCCCUCAUAGGUCCGUGGUCCUCGCAGGGGUCCUCUGACCACCGGCACCAGCGCCUCCUGGAACCCGACAGACGUGCAGAUUCUCGGGCCUCACCCCACACCUGCCUACUCAGAACCUCGGGGGGUGAGUCCACCAGCAAUUGGUGUUUUAACAAAACUUCCAAGGGAUUGUCAGAGAACUGCUGAUAGGGUAGCCGUUUUGAUGGA